Molecule: ribosomal RNA, 433 nt
Filed under: uncultured bacterium
Lineage: Bacteria
Description: partial 16S ribosomal RNA
Rfam family: Bacterial small subunit ribosomal RNA
Source: RNAcentral
AACGAACGCUGGCGGCAGGCCUAACACAUGCAAGUCGAGCGGACCCUUCGGGGUUAGCGGCGGACGGGUGAGUAACGCGUGGGAAUAUGCCCUUCUCUACGGAAUAGUCCUGGGAAACUGGGGGUAAUACCGUAUACGCCCUUUGGGGGAAAGAUUUAUCGGGGAAGGAUUAGCCCGCGUUGGAUUAGGUAGUUGGUGGGGUAAUGGCCUACCAAGCCGACGAUCCAUAGCUGGUUUGAGAGGAUGAUCAGCCACACUGGGACUGAGACACGGCCCAGACUCCUACGGGAGGCAGCAGUGGGGAAUCUUAGACAAUGGGGGCAACGCUGAUCUAGCCAUGCCGCGUGAGUGAUGAAGGCCUUAGAGUUGUAAAGCUCUUUCAGCUGGGAAGAUAAUGACGGUACCAGAAGAAGAAGCCCCGGCUAACUCCGUG